RNAcentral lists this non-coding RNA (84 nucleotides) under Cohnella sp. RNAcentral describes it as "c-di-GMP sequence". It matches the Rfam family "c-di-GMP-I riboswitch aptamer". From Rfam's summary of the family: GEMM was predicted in a large-scale screen for bacterial structured RNA regulatory elements. The record is from RNAcentral. Lineage: Bacteria; Bacillati; Bacillota; Bacilli; Caryophanales; Paenibacillaceae.
UAUUGAAAAAGGCAAACUUAUCGAAAAGGUAAGGACGCAAAGCCACGGGUCUAAGGCGAAAGCUAUGACAGCCGGGUUUCCAAG